CAUGCAAGUCGAACGCUUCUUUUUCCACCGGAGCUUGCUCCACCGGAAAAAGAGGAGUGGCGAACGGGUGAGUAACACGUGGGUAACCUGCCCAUCAGAAGGGGAUAACACUUGGAAACAGGUGCUAAUACCGUAUAACAAUCGAAACCGCAUGGUUUUGAUUUGAAAGGCGCUUUCGGGUGUCGCUGAUGGAUGGACCCGCGGUGCAUUAGCUAGUUGGUGAGGUAACGGCUCACCAAGGCCACGAUGCAUAGCCGACCUGAGAGGGUGAUCGGCCACAUUGGGACUGAGACACGGCCCAAACUCCUACGGGAGGCAGCAGUAGGGAAUCUUCGGCAAUGGACGAAAGUCUGACCGAGCAACGCCGCGUGAGUGAAGAAGGUUUUCGGAUCGUAAAACUCUGUUGUUAGAGAAGAACAAGGAUGAGAGUAACUGUUCAUCCCUUGACGGUAUCUAACCAGAAAGCCACGGCUAACUACGUGCCAGCAGCCGCGGUAAUACGUAGGUGGCAAGCGUUGUCCGGAUUUAUUGGGCGUAAAGCGAGCGCAGGCGGUUUCUUAAGUCUGAUGUGAAAGCCCCCGGCUCAACCGGGGAGGGUCAUUGGAAACUGGGAGACUUGAGUGCAGAAGAGGAGAGUGAAAUUCCAUGUGUAGCGGUGAAAUGCGUAGAUAUAUGGAGGAACACCAGUGGCGAAGGCGGCUCUCUGGUCUGUAACUGAC
Molecule: ribosomal RNA, 719 nt
Filed under: uncultured Bacilli bacterium
Lineage: Bacteria; Bacillati; Bacillota; Bacilli
Description: bacterial SSU rRNA
Rfam family: Bacterial small subunit ribosomal RNA
Source: RNAcentral